Molecule: transfer RNA, 84 nt
Filed under: Planctomycetaceae bacterium
Lineage: Bacteria; Pseudomonadati; Planctomycetota; Planctomycetia; Planctomycetales; Planctomycetaceae
Description: tRNA-Leu
Rfam family: tRNA
About the family: Transfer RNA (tRNA) molecules are approximately 80 nucleotides in length.
Source: RNAcentral
GCGGGAAUGGCGGAAUUGGUAGACGCGCUAGGUUGAGGGCCUAGUCGGGGCAACCCGGUGGAAGUUCGAGUCUUCUUUCCCGCA